UGAGCAAUCUGCCCUUCUCAUCGGAAUAAGCGUUGGAAACGACGUCUAAUGCCGAAUACGACCUCCUUUCGCAUGAUCGGAGGUGGAAAGCUCCGGCGGAGAAGGAUGAGCUCGCGGCCUAUCAGCAAGUUGGUGUGGGUAAUGGCCCACCAAGGCGACGACGGGUAGCCGGCCUGAGAGGGUGACCGGCCACACUGGGACUGAGACACGGCCCAGACUCCUACGGGAGCAG
RNAcentral lists this ribosomal RNA (232 nucleotides) under uncultured bacterium. RNAcentral's name for it is "partial 16S ribosomal RNA". It matches the Rfam family "Bacterial small subunit ribosomal RNA", at positions 118 to 347 of the family's 1533-position model. The record is from RNAcentral.